CCUACGGGAGGCAGCAGUGGGGAAUAUUGGGCAAUGGGCGAAAGCCUGACCCAGCGACGCCGCGUGAGGGACGAAGGCCUUCGGGUUGUAAACCUCUUUCAGCAGGGAAGAAGCGAAAGUGACGGUACCUGCAGAAGAAGCACCGGCUAACUACGUGCCAGCAGCCGCGGUAAUACGUAGGGUGCAAGCGUUGUCCGGAAUUAUUGGGCGUAAAGAGCUCGUAGGUGGUUUGCCACGUCGGAUGUGAAAACCUGAGGCUUAACCUCAGGCCUGCAUUCGAUACGGGCAGACUAGAGUGUGGUAGGGGAGACUGGAAUUCCUGGUGUAGCGGUGAAAUGCGCAGAUAUCAGGAGGAACACCGGUGGCGAAGGCGGGUCUCUGGGCCAUAACUGACACUGAGGAGCGAAAGCGUGGGGAGCAAACAGGAUUAGAUACCCUGGUAGUCCACGCCGUAAACGGUGGGCACUAGAUGUGGGGACCUUCCACGGUCUCUGCGUCGCAGCUAACGCAUUAAGUGCCCCGCCUGGGGAGUACGGCCGCAAGGCUAAAACUUAAUGAAUUGACGG
Molecule: ribosomal RNA, 566 nt
Filed under: uncultured bacterium
Lineage: Bacteria
Description: bacterial SSU rRNA
Rfam family: Bacterial small subunit ribosomal RNA
Source: RNAcentral